GAAGCUGGAUUCGCUAGUAAUCGCGCAUCAGCCACGGCGCGGUGAAUACGUUCCCGGGUCUUGUACACACCGCCCGUCACACCAUGGGAGUCGGAUAUGCCCGAAGCCGGUGACCUAACCGCAAGGAAGGAGCCGUCGAAGGUGGAGCCGAUGACUGGGGUGAAGUCGUAACAAGGUAUC
RNAcentral lists this ribosomal RNA (180 nucleotides) under uncultured bacterium. RNAcentral's name for it is "partial 16S ribosomal RNA". It matches the Rfam family "Bacterial small subunit ribosomal RNA", at positions 1322 to 1500 of the family's 1533-position model. The record is from RNAcentral.